This 667-nucleotide long non-coding RNA is filed under the name Homo sapiens (human). RNAcentral's name for it is "HSALNT0385491". The record is from RNAcentral. Lineage: Eukaryota; Metazoa; Chordata; Mammalia; Primates; Hominidae.
UGGGUCCCUGAGGCGUGGCAAAGCAGGACCCCUUCGUGGCAGUGCGUCGGUGUCGCGACUCCACCCUGACGUCUCCAGGAGCUCGAGAGGGAUGGUCUCCGGACGCCAGGAGUCGCGGAGGGCCGACCAGGAUGAAGAAACUUCAGGCGGAGUCCCAGGAGAGCAGCGCGGGAUCCCAGCCUCAGCCUGCCCAGACGGAGAGGUGCAGACCGACCUCCAAGAAGAUGGUUCUAACUCCUCCCGCCCUCUCUUCCCAUUGAGAAAUGGAGCCCCACCGCGACACAGGCUUGGAGAAGAAGUCGAGAACGGGAUGUGGCAAGGAUCUCUGUCACUCCAACGCUGGCCUUUCUGGCCAAGUCACCCGUUUGGCACUCCUUCCCGGAAGCCCAUGGCGGUGGCAUUGUGCUGUAUCCCGCCUGGGCUCUGACCUCUACACUGUCCUCCCUCUUGCUCUGUCUGCCAUGUUUCUGACGGGCCUGGAUGCUUCUUGGUCUGGCUCAGUGUCUUCCACAGAGAACACUUUUGAGUCCAUCAGGGAGAAACUGUGUGGAAAUCCAUUUCGUGAAUGUUGUCAUCAUAAAUCAUCAAAAUGUCAUCUGAUAGAACAUAUUUUUCUAAGUUAAUUUACUUAUGAGACAUUUACAAGGGUAUAGAAUAAUGUACUCAG